Molecule: ribosomal RNA, 1483 nt
Filed under: metagenome
Description: bacterial SSU rRNA
Rfam family: Bacterial small subunit ribosomal RNA
Source: RNAcentral
AGAGUUUGAUUCUGGCUCAGGAUGAACGCUAGCGGCAGGCCUAAUACAUGCAAGUCGAGGGGCAGCAGGGGUAGCAAUACUCGCUGGCGACCGGCGCACGGGUGCGUAACACGUAUGCAACUUUCCUUCAACUGGAAGAUAGCCCGAAGAGAUUCGGAUUAAUAUUCCAUAGUUAUAUGAAAUGGCAUCAUUUUAUAUUUAAAGCUCAGGCGGUUGAAGAUGGGCAUGCGUUCGAUUAGCUAGUUGGUGAGGUAAUGGCUCACCAAGGCUACGAUCGAUAGGGGAUCUGAGAGGAUUAACCCCCCACACUGGUACUGAGACACGGACCAGACUCCUACGGGAGGCAGCAGUAAGGAAUAUUGGACAAUGGAGGCAACUCUGAUCCAGCCAUGCCGCGUGAAGGAUGAAGGUCCUAUGGAUUGUAAACUUCUUUUGAACGGGAGAAAACCUUCGGUCGUGUACCGAAGCUGAUAGUACCGUUAGAAUAAGGGUCGGCUAACUUCGUGCCAGCAGCCGCGGUAAUACGAAGGACCCGAGCGUUAUCCGGAUUUAUUGGGUUUAAAGGGUGCGUAGGCGGAAUGGUAAGUCAGUGGUGAAAUCUUGUGGCUUAACUGCAAAACUGCCAUUGAUACUGCCAAUCUUGAGUACAUUUGAUGUGGGCGGAAUGUGCCAUGUAGUGGUGAAAUACUUAGAUAUGGCACAGAACACCGAUCGCGAAGGCAGCUCACAAAACUGUUACUGACGCUGAGGCACGAAAGCGUGGGGAUCAAACAGGAUUAGAUACCCUGGUAGUCCACGCCUUAAACUAUGAUUACUCGAUGUGUGCGAUACACAGUACGCGUCUAAGCGAAAGCGUUAAGUAAUCCACCUGGGGAGUACGGUCGCAAGAUUGAAACUCAAAGAAAUUGACGGGGGCCCGCACAAGCGGAGGAGCAUGUGGUUUAAUUCAAUGAUACGCGAGGAACCUUACCUGGGCUUGAAAGUUAGUGAAUGCUGUGGAAACAUUGCAGGCCGCAAGGACACGAAACUAGGUGCUGCAUGGCUGUCGUCAGCUCGUGCCGUGAGGUGUUGGGUUAAGUCCCGCAACGAGCGCAACCCCUAUCUUUAGUUGCCAGCGAGUAAUGUCGGGGACUCUAAAGAAACUGCCCGUGCAAACGGUGAGGAAGGUGGGGAUGACGUCAAGUCAGCACGGCCCUUACGUCCAGGGCUACACACGUGCUACAAUGGCGAGUACAAAGGGCAGCUACAUGGUGACAUGAUGCUAAUCUCUAAAACUCGUCUCAGUUCGGAUUGAAGUCUGCGAUUCGACUUCAUGAAGCUGGAUUCGCUAGUAAUCGAAUAUCAGCAAUGAUUCGGUGAAUACGUUCCCGGGCCUUGUACACACCGCCCGUCAAACAAUGGAAGCUGAGGGUACUUAAAGUCGAUAACCGCAAGGAGUCGCCUAGGGUAAAAUCGGUAACUGGUGUUAAGUCGGAACAAGGUA